This 253-nucleotide ribosomal RNA is filed under the name uncultured bacterium. Its description in RNAcentral is "partial 16S ribosomal RNA". It matches the Rfam family "Bacterial small subunit ribosomal RNA", at positions 524 to 776 of the family's 1533-position model. The record is from RNAcentral.
UACGUAGGGACCAAGCGUUGUUCGGAUUUACUGGGCGUAAAGGGCGCGUAGGUGGCGGCCCAAGUCAACGGUGAAAGCUCGGCGCUCAACGCCGAGUCGGCCGUCGAUACUGGGUUGCUUGAGCACUGUAGGGGCCAAUGGAAUUCCAGGUGUAGCGGUGGAAUGCGUAGAGAUCCGGAAGAACACCGGUGGCGAAGGCGGUUGGCUGGGCAGGUGCUGACACUGAGGCGCGACAGCGUGGGGAGCAAACAGG